GAGUUUGAUUCUGGCUCAGCGCGAACGUUGGCGGCGUGCCUAACACAUGCAAGUCGUGGGGCAGCAGGUUACUGUCUUUUGGCAGUAGUGCUGGCGACCGGCAAACGGGUGAGUAACACGUAGCUUACCUACCCAUAGGUCGGGGAUAACAUCCCGAAAGGGGUGCUAAUACCCAAUAAUGAGGAGACUCCAAAGCCCUUAUGGGUGCCUAUGGAUGGGGCUGCGUCCCAUCAGCUUGUUGGUGAGGUAAUGGCUCACCAAGGCUACGACGGGUAACCGGUCUGAGAGGAUGACCGGUCACAGUGGGACUGAGACACGGCCCGCACCCCUACGGGGGGCAGCAGUGGGGAAUAUUGGGCAAAGGCUGAAAGGCUGACCCAGCAACGCCGCGUGGUGGAUGAAGCCCUUCGGGGUGUAAACACCUUUUCUGGGGGA
This 435-nucleotide ribosomal RNA is filed under the name uncultured Aquificales bacterium. RNAcentral's name for it is "bacterial SSU rRNA". It matches the Rfam family "Bacterial small subunit ribosomal RNA", at positions 9 to 445 of the family's 1533-position model. Lineage: Bacteria; Pseudomonadati; Aquificota; Aquificia; Aquificales. The record is from RNAcentral.